CUAAAACUUGCUCAGCUCCUUGAACUCUUUUACAAUCUAGUUUGUCAGGACCCACCAGCAAAGACUUUGAACCAACACGGAGAUGCCACCCCACUGCCUCCUCGAUUCUUCCAUGACCUCUUCUGAAAAUUCUAGCACUUUUGUUCGAUACCAUUGCAAUUGUUCUACCUCCUUCAACAAGAUCUUGAACAUCAUCCAUCGGGCCGCCUUGGUGGUCCCUGAGCCACCCG
Molecule: long non-coding RNA, 230 nt
Filed under: Elaeis guineensis (African oil palm)
Lineage: Eukaryota; Viridiplantae; Streptophyta; Magnoliopsida; Arecales; Arecaceae
Description: long non-coding RNA (EGUI_LNC017175)
Source: RNAcentral